AUUGAACGCUGGCGGCAGGCUUAACACAUGCAAGUCGAGCGGGGGAAGGUAGCUUGCUACCGGACCUAGCGGCGGACGGGUGAGUAAUGCUUAGGAAUCUGCCUAUUAGUGGGGGACAACAUCUCGAAAGGGAUGCUAAUACCGCAUACGUCCUACGGGAGAAAGCAGGGGAUCUUCGGACCUUGCGCUAAUAGAUGAGCCUAAGUCGGAUUAGCUAGUUGGUGGGGUAAAGGCCUACCAAGGCGACGAUCUGUAGCGGGUCUGAGAGGAUGAUCCGCCACACUGGGACUGAGACACGGCCCAGACUCCUACGGGAGGCAGCAGUGGGGAAUAUUGGACAAUGGGGGGAACCCUGAUCCAGCCAUGCCGCGUGUAUGAAGAAGGCCUUAUGGUUGUAAAGCACUUUAAGCGAGGAAGAGGCUACUUUAGUUAAUACCUAGAGAUAGUGGACGUUACUCGCAGAAUAAGCACCGGCUAACUCUGUG
Molecule: ribosomal RNA, 485 nt
Filed under: uncultured bacterium
Lineage: Bacteria
Description: partial 16S ribosomal RNA
Rfam family: Bacterial small subunit ribosomal RNA
Source: RNAcentral